Molecule: transfer RNA, 64 nt
Filed under: Pseudodendrothrips mori
Lineage: Eukaryota; Metazoa; Arthropoda; Insecta; Thysanoptera; Thripidae
Description: tRNA-Cys
Source: RNAcentral
AGAUUUCGUAUUUUAUUAAAAUAUAAAAUUGCAAAUUUUAAGAUGAAAUUUACUCCGAAAUUUA